UGGGGAAUAUUGGACAAUGGGCGCAAGCCUGAUCCAGCCAUGCCGCGUGAGUGAUGAAGGCCCUAGGGUUGUAAAGCUCUUUCACCGGAGAAGAUAAUGACGGUAUCCGGAGAAGAAGCCCCGGCUAACUUCGUGCCAGCAGCCGCGGUAAUACGAAGGGGGCUAGCGUUGUUCGGAAUUACUGGGCGUAAAGCGCACGUAGGCGGACCAUUAAGUCAGGGUGAAAUCCCGGAGCUCAACUCCGGAACUGCCUUUGAUACUGGUGGUCUAGAGACCGAGAGAGGUAAGUGGAACUCCUAGUGUAGAGGUGGAAUUCGUAGAUAUUAGGAAGAACACCAGUGGCGAAGGCGGCUUACUGGCUCGGAACUGACGCUGAGGUGCGAAAGCGUGGGGAGCAAACAGGAUUAGAUACCC
RNAcentral lists this ribosomal RNA (414 nucleotides) under uncultured bacterium. Its description in RNAcentral is "bacterial SSU rRNA". It matches the Rfam family "Bacterial small subunit ribosomal RNA", at positions 355 to 787 of the family's 1533-position model. The record is from RNAcentral.